This 274-nucleotide ribosomal RNA is filed under the name uncultured bacterium. Its description in RNAcentral is "partial 16S ribosomal RNA". It matches the Rfam family "Bacterial small subunit ribosomal RNA", at positions 28 to 334 of the family's 1533-position model. The record is from RNAcentral.
GGUGAACGCUGGCGGCAUGGAUAAGGCAUGCAAGUUGAAUGGGUUUAGACCCAUGGCAAACGGGGUAGUAACACGUAGGAACGUACCUAGAAGUCAAGAAUAAUCUGGAGAAAUCCAGGAUAAUACUUGAUAGUCCCGCAAGGGUAAAGAUUUAUCGCUUCUAGAGCGGCCUGCGUAGUAUCAGCUUGUUGGUAAGGUAAUGGCUUACCAAGGCUACGACGCUUAGGGGAGGUGAGAGCCUGACCCCCACCAUUGGAACUUAGACACGGUCCAA